UACGGGGGGAGCAAGCGUUGUUCGGAAUUACUGGCGUAAAGCGCAUGUAGGCGGCCAACUAAGUCGGAUGUGAAAUCCCCAAGCUUAACUUGGGAACUGCAUCCGAUACUGGAUGGCUUGAAUCCGGGAGAGGGAUGCAGAAUUCCAGGUGUAGCGGUGAAAUGCGUAGAUAUCUGGAGGAAUACCGGUGGCGAAGGCGGCAUCCUGGACCGGCAUUGACGCGUGAGGAGCGAAAAGCUAGGGGAGCAAACGGG
Molecule: ribosomal RNA, 254 nt
Filed under: uncultured bacterium
Lineage: Bacteria
Description: partial 16S ribosomal RNA
Rfam family: Bacterial small subunit ribosomal RNA
Source: RNAcentral